ACUCCUACGGGAGGCAGCAGUGGGGAAUAUUGCACAAUGGGGGAAACCCUGAUGCAGCCAUGCCGCGUGUGUGAAGAAGGCCUUCGGGUUGUAAAGCACUUUCAGUAGGGAGGAAGGUAGUGUAGUUAACACCUGCAUUAUUUGACGUUACCUACAGAAGAAGCACCGGCUAACUCCGUGCCAGCAGCCGCGGUAAUACGGAGGGUGCGAGCGUUAAUCGGAAUUACUGGGCGUAAAGCGCAUGCAGGCGGCCUGUUAAGUCAGAUGUGAAAGCCCGGGGCUUAACCUCGGAAUUGCAUUUGAAACUGGCAGGCUAGAGUCUUGUAGAGGGGGGUAGAAUUUCAGGUGUAGCGGUGAAAUGCGUAGAGAUCUGAAGGAAUACCAGUGGCGAAGGCGGCCCCCUGGACAAAGACUGACGCUCAGAUGCGAAAAGCGUGGGGAGCAAAACAGGAUUAGAUACCCUGGUAGCACAGAG
RNAcentral lists this ribosomal RNA (475 nucleotides) under uncultured bacterium. Its description in RNAcentral is "bacterial SSU rRNA". It matches the Rfam family "Bacterial small subunit ribosomal RNA", at positions 335 to 799 of the family's 1533-position model. The record is from RNAcentral.